UGCUGCAAGCCGCGGUGGCCUUUGUUUGUGUGUGGGCUUGCGCGGUGGUGGUGAGUGAGGCUGCUGGCAGGUCAGUGCCCCCAGGUGAGCCAGAGCCACGCUGGCAGGCGGCUGCCUGGCUCCUCCAUCGCUUCCAAGGCUUGGAUCAGGCCAGGCCUGCCGGCUGCGAGGGAGCUAACCGUGUGGGGAGAAGUCUGCGGCUAGAGAGAAGGGUCCCGCUGGACCGGAGGAGGAGGGAGGAGCUUCCGGAGACUCAGCAAUCAUCCUCUCUUCUCGUUCUCUUCUUUUGGGGACUCUGAAGUUUAGACCUUAAACCUACAGGAAGUUCCUGAGAUACAAUUGAGUUUGUUACUUGUUGAAGAUCUCACAGUAUGUGGAGAG
This is a long non-coding RNA of Phyllostomus hastatus (greater spear-nosed bat), 381 nucleotides long. RefSeq lists it as uncharacterized. Lineage: Eukaryota; Metazoa; Chordata; Mammalia; Chiroptera; Phyllostomidae. The record is from RefSeq and is a predicted model, not a curated record. The transcript is spliced from 3 exons.